ACAGGUUGCCCCAUAGUGACCCUGGAGACUCCCGCCUGCCCCCAGUGAAGGAAUUGGUUACUCUCCCAGAGCCCUCCCGGGCAUCGCCCCCUUCCUCACUUCCUCCUCUUCCUGCCGCCAGCCUCUACCCCUCCAGCCUCCUGUGGCUUCACAGGCAAGUGCCCCAUCCCAGGAAGAAGGAGUUGGAGCUCCGUGAUGCCAUUCAAAAACAGAUGAGAUGGGGACAGAUUUAACCCAAAGGACAUAGUUCAACUCCUGGUCUUGACAGAGGAGAAGCCCUCAAAGAUGGAGUCUCACUCUGUUGCCAGGCUAGAAUACAAUGGCACGAUCUUGGCUCACUGCAACCUCCGCCUCCUGGGUUCAAGAGAUUCUCCUGCCUCAGCGUCCUGAGUUGCUGGGACUACGGGCACACACCAUCAUGCCCAGCUAAUUUUUGUAUUUUUAGUAGAGACAGGGUUUCACCAUGUUGACCAGGAUGGUCUCGAUCUCUUGACCUCGUGAUCUGCCCACGUCGGCCUCCCAAAGUGCUGGGAUUACAGGCAUGAGCCAGUGCGCCUAGCAAAUGACAGCUUUUUGAGCCUCUGUUUAACAAUCUCUUAAACCUUAUAGGUAGGCAGUUCUGAGACAGCUCCUAAUCAUCUCCCCUCCUGGUAUUCAAGCCCUGAUGGAUUACUCUCUUCUUGAAUGUGAGCUGGACUUAGUGGUUUUCUUCUAAUCAAUUGAAUACACACAAGUGAUGAGCUGUCAUUUCCAAAAUUAGUUCACACAAAGCUGUAACUUUUGUUUUGUUCACAGCCUCUCUCAAUUGCCUUCUCAGCUUGUAUGCUUUGAAGAAGCAAGCUGCAGUGUUGGAGAGGCCCAUGUGGCAAGGAAAUGAGGGUGGCCUCCAGUCAAUGGCUGGUGAGAAACUGAGACCUUCCUUCCAACAAUUGUCAAGUAACUGAAUACUCCCAACAAUCAUAUGGGUUAGGUUAGAAGUGAACCUUUCUCUAGUUGAGGUUUCAGAUAAGACCACAGAUAUUAUACUAACACCUUGAUUGCAGGCUUAUGAGAAACCUUGAAAUGAGAAGACUAAGUAAAACCAUAUCUGGAUUCCUGACUUACAGAAACUGUGAGAUGAUAAAUGUGUGUUAUCUUAAGCCACAAAGUUUUUGGGGUGAUUUGUUCUACAGCAAUUGAUAAUGAAUACUUCAACCUAUAGUGACAACUGGAUGUCUAUUUACUCAUUUUCCCCACCAAAGUGUAAAGUUCCUGCAAGGCAGAGGUUACAACAUAUUCAUCCUGCUACCUCUCACAGCCCAUAAUAUACAACCUGGCCCAUAAAACAGAUUAAUCAAUGUUUGUUAAAUUAACAUGUAUUUUGAGUUUCAUUGAAAUCAGUUAGUUGAAGUGAUAAUAACAUUUAAAUGUGCAUGAGCAGUAGGACAAGGCAGAUAGCUGGUUAGGAUAGAAAGUUUUUGAAAAUUGUGAGGGGAAGAAUUAUUUCUAUUUGUACCCUGUUGUACCCAGCUUAGGUUUCAAAAACUUUCAGGGGGUUUUUAUUCAUUUACCAAAGACUUCAAAGUUGGUGCCUCCCCACCACUCUAAAGAGGUCUUUGCCCUUAUUGACCCAACCAUACUGAUUUGCCUGGUGUACAGUGGGAGCUAUUAUAAGGAGAGGGGAGAAGAAGGAAAUAGAAACAACUGUGAAAAAGGUUGAAAAAAAUAGCGAAAAGGAUAGAAAAAGAGCAGAGGAAAGAGAAGAAGUAGUCAACAUCCAACCCAGAUGCAGAGAAAUUAUUCAAAAGAAAAAGUCUGAUUUUCCUGUCGGAAAUAUUUUUAAAAGGAGGUAGGCAUUUAUCAAAAAGGAAAAAAAAAAAAAGAAUAACAGUUUGUCUUCCAAAGGACCCAAUACUCUUGGAAUUCAAUGACCUAAUUCUGUAUAUGGUUGCAGUGUGGAGAUUGCCUCUUGUCUGAUUCUCAUGGCAUUGAGACCUCUGAUUUCUCAACAGCACAUGCCACAGCACUAUCAGAGGUCAGGAAUAAAGAACAGAGGGUGUGGGGGGCAGUCUAGAUAUUAUACUCAGCAAACAUAUUUUUAAAUCAGUGUAAAUUCUAUCUUGCUGGUUGCUUAUCUUAGCAGUUAAAUCAACUUUUCAUUACUUUUGUAGACAUUAUAUAAUAUCUUCUCCCCACAGCUCCAGCCACCAGCUGUUAGUCAGCAGAAUGGGAGAGGGACUGGGUCAGCUUAAGCUGAAUAACUUCCAUGCUGACAUUUGAGGGAACCAAUUCCCAGCCACUGAACAAACCUAAAUGUUCUGCUAUGGCCAUAGAACCAAAUAGAUCUUAACAAAGAAAUCUGAGAGCAUUCAAAGGUCAAAACAAUUGGAGCUAGUUCCUUCAAGCUUAAAUAUGCUCAUCUGUAAAGUGGGGACAAUAACUGUGUGUCUUAUAGGGUUAUUUUGAAGGCUAAAUAUGUGUAAAAGCCUCAGUCUACUGAAAGGUUGCUCAACUGUAACACUCUUUUCAUUUUGUGAGGGAUCAUUCUUUGUUGGAGGUUAGGGACACUGUCUUGUGCAUUACAGGAUGUUUAGCAACAUCCUUAGCUUCUAUCCAUCAGAUGUUAGCACCCCACCCACGGACCACCAUCUUCUCCAUCAUCACCAUCAAAUAUGUCUCCAGACAUUUCCAAGUGUCCCCUGGGAGGGUAAAAUUGCCCCUGGUUGAGAACCACUGUUCUAGUACUUGGCAUUGUUCCAUAAACAUCAGAUGAUAUUUUUAUCAUUAUAAUUAUUACUAAAGGCAACAUCACCCUGCUAUGGAGACAGGUCCUUGGUCUCACGGAAUCCCUGCAAUAGUUGCUGCAUUUCUGCAUCUUUCUGAGAGUAAGGGUUGAAAAGAGAUAAGGUCAAUUCAUCUGACAACAAUCCAAUGGGAAACCUACUGUCUCCGUAGAAAUUCUUUUCAUGGAAAGAAAAGGGGCUACCAUUUUGAUCUGCUGCAGGAACUAGGUCUAUUCCUCAGCCUCAAGGUUUGCAAAACGCUACAGACUUUUCCAUGGGCAUAAAUUCUCCAGCUUUAGGGAUUGCUGGUAUAGUUGACUCUUGAAGCUGCUCUUGGAUUUCCAAGGGUAGCACCAUUUUUACCUGAGAAAAGAAGGAAAAAGAUAUUCAAGAAGGAGAACUUUUCAACAGAAGUUACUCCAUUUGCUGUUUUUGUGGUUUUGUGCUUGUUUAGGUUUGCAAGUGUGUUUUCUGCCCAAAUUGUUCUUGCAUAUUCUAACAGUGUUUGCUUUACGUGUUUUGAUACCAUGCUGUUUUGAAGGUACAAAUGUUUUUCAUGGCAUGUCUUGUGUUAAGUGUACAAACUGAGACGUGAAUGUCAGUGACUGAAUAGAGUACAGUAUUCCUCAAAGUUUUUAACUAAAUAAACCCUAAGAGAAAAGUGAAGCGAGAUUUCUGGAGGUCUGGAAGUGGCCAGCUGACAAUAUGACAUCUCUGUAUCUCCUAUUUUUAUCUUUAUGCUAAAUGCAAAUUUUACUUUCUGUGCUAAAAUAAUGUUUCAUUAGUUUCAAGGUAAAAAUGUGUAAAUAGAC
Molecule: long non-coding RNA, 3574 nt
Filed under: Pan troglodytes (chimpanzee)
Lineage: Eukaryota; Metazoa; Chordata; Mammalia; Primates; Hominidae
Description: lincRNA
Source: RNAcentral